AGAGUUUGAUCCUGGCUCAGAGCGAACGCUGGCGGCGUGCUUAACACAUGCAAGUCGAACGCGCAGUUUGGUGUAGCAAUACACUGGAUGGGCGCGUGGCGAACGGGUGCGUAACACGUGGAUAACCUUCCUUCUGGUGGGGAAUAACCCCGUGAAAACGGGGCUAAUACCGCAUAACAUUGCGAGGGCGCAUGCUCUUGCAUUCAAAGGCGCAAGUCGCCGGAAGAGGGAUCCGCGGCCGAUUAGCUAGUUGGCGAGGUAAUGGCUCACCAAGGCGAUGAUCGGUAGCCGGACUGAGAGGUUGGCCGGCCACACUGGAACUGAGACACGGUCCAGACUCCUACGGGAGGCAGCAGUGGGGAAUCUUGCGCAAUGGGCGAAAGCCUGACGCAGCAACGCCGCGUGGGGGAUGAAGCUUCUCGGAGUGUAAACCCUUUUCGACCGGGACGAAUGCCCGCAAGGGCUUGACGGUACCGGUAUAAGAAGCCCCGGCUAACUACGUGCCAGCAGCCGCGGUAAAACGUAGGGGGCCAGCGUUGCUCGGAAUUACUGGGCGUAAAGGGUCCGUAGGCGGUGUGACAAGUCGGUAGUGAAAUCUCUGGGCUUAACUCAGAGGCUGCUGCCGAAACUGUUGUGCUAGAGUGUGAGAGAGGCGAGUGGAAUUACGGGUGUAGCGGUGAAAUGCGUAGAUAUCCGUAGGAACAUCCGAGGCGAAAGCGGCUCGCUGGAUCACAACUGACGCUGAGGGACGAAAGCUAGGGGAGCAAACAGGAUUAGAUACCCCCGUAGUCC
RNAcentral lists this ribosomal RNA (792 nucleotides) under uncultured bacterium. Its description in RNAcentral is "bacterial SSU rRNA". It matches the Rfam family "Bacterial small subunit ribosomal RNA", at positions 8 to 796 of the family's 1533-position model. The record is from RNAcentral.